AUUGAACGCUGGCGGCAUGCUUUACACAUGCAAGUCGAACGGUAACAGGUUAAGCUGACGAGUGGCGAACGGGUGAGUAAUGCAUCGGAACGUGCCCGAUCGUGGGGGAUAACGCAGCGAAAGCUGCGCUAAUACCGCAUACGAUCUGAGGAUGAAAGCGGGGGACCGUAAGGCCUCGCGCGAUCGGAGCGGCCGAUGUCAGAUUAGGUAGUUGGUGGGGUAAAGGCUCACCAAGCCAACGAUCUGUAGCUGGUCUGAGAGGACGACAAGCCACACUGGGACUGAGACAAGGCCCAGACUCCUACGGGAGGCAGCAGUGGGGAAUUUUGGACAAUGGGCGAAAGGCUGAUCCAGCAAUGCCGCGUGCAGGAAGAAGGCCUUCGGGUUGUAAACUGCUUUUGUACGGAGCGAAAAGGCUCUCUCUAAUACAGGGGGCUCAUGACGGUACCGUAAGAAUAAGCACCAGCUAACUACGUGCCAGCCGCCGCAGUAA
RNAcentral lists this ribosomal RNA (493 nucleotides) under uncultured bacterium. RNAcentral's name for it is "partial 16S ribosomal RNA". It matches the Rfam family "Bacterial small subunit ribosomal RNA", at positions 29 to 523 of the family's 1533-position model. The record is from RNAcentral.